RNAcentral lists this ribosomal RNA (408 nucleotides) under uncultured bacterium. Its description in RNAcentral is "bacterial SSU rRNA". It matches the Rfam family "Bacterial small subunit ribosomal RNA", at positions 354 to 777 of the family's 1533-position model. The record is from RNAcentral.
GUGGGGAAUAUUGCGCAAUGGGGGCAACCCUGACGCAGCAACGCCGCGUGAGUGAAGAAGGUUUUAGGAUUGUAAAGCUCUGUCUUCGGGGACGAAAAGAUGACGGUACCCGAGGAGGAAGCCCCGGCUAACUACGUGCCAGCAGCCGCGGUAAUACGUAGGGGGCAAGCGUUGUCCGGAAUCACUGGGCGUAAAGGGCACGCAGGCGGUAAGAUAAGUCAGAUGUGAAAGUUUUCAGCUUAACUGAGAAAGUGCAUUUGAAACUAUCCUACUUGAGUCUCGGAGAGGUAAGCGGAAUUCCUAGUGUAGCGGUGAAAUGCGUAGAGAUUAGGAGGAACACCGGUGGCGAAGGCGGCUUACUGGACGAGUACUGACGCUCAUGUGCGAAAGCGUGGGGAGCAAACAGGA